RNAcentral lists this long non-coding RNA (1233 nucleotides) under Manihot esculenta (cassava). RNAcentral describes it as "long non-coding RNA (MESC_LNC005513)". The record is from RNAcentral. Lineage: Eukaryota; Viridiplantae; Streptophyta; Magnoliopsida; Malpighiales; Euphorbiaceae.
CUCCAUUGAAGACUAUUCUUGCACAAGAUGAAAAAAUUGAAACUCCUUUCAUCCUUCCAAUGCAAACAGUCCAUGCCCAGGAGGAACAAAUGGUAGUCCAAUGGCCCAAACCAAAGGAGCAUGGAGAUCAAUGCCUGCCCAAACCUCCAGAUAAGGUAGAAUUUGUUUUGCCUGAACUUAAUGCCAAAUUGCAGCCACCCAUGGAGAAAUAUCAAUUGAAGUUGGAAGUGCUCAAAAAUGCAAACAUAAGGGCUAGAGGCACACCUCAUCUGAAAGAAGAGAAGCUAAUCAUGUUACUUCAUGAGUACAUGGAAAAAGUAGGAUGGGCUAUGACAAAAUCAAAAGGAGUGCUACACUUUUUGCUCAAUGCAGUUGGGACUCUUUUCCCUUCCCCAAUUACUUGAGCCUUGAUCAAGUGGAUCGCACCAUGCACACCACACCCAGGGGAGUACUCAGUUUCCUUUGUUCUUUUAUGUUUUUUACACAAUGAGGACAAUGCAUGAUUUAGGUGUGGGGGUGCAUAUUUCUGAAUUUUUAAAUUUUUGCUUUGAUUUUCAGUUUGAAUUUUUAUUUUCAUUUUUCAGUGUGAUUUUCAAUUUUUCGUUUUGCUUUCAAUAACACACACAGAUAGCCACAGUUUUUUUUAUUUAUUUUUGUUUUCUUUUUUUUUUAGAUGCUUUACUCAUCAUAUAGACUAUGUUGGAUGAGCUUUUCUUUCCAUGACCCCAUUGAUGUUAUGACUCUUUAAACUUAUGUUGAAUCAAUUGCAGUGAGUUAUAUUCAUGUUUGAGAAUUGCCUUUUGAAUUGAAUCUUUGAGUUUGCUAUGGUGAAAAAUAUAUUGAUGACCCUCAAUUGAUGAGAAUAAAUUUAAAAAAAAAAAAUUGUGUGAAUGAACUUAAUGUGACUUGAUUAAGCAAUUGGUGUUGAUUUGCCCAAAUCAUUGAGAGAAAGAAAAUUCAGCAAAGGCAAAGACCUCAAAAGCACAAAUUAAAAACUGUUCCAAUGGUCAAAAGACCAUGAACAAGGCUACUAGCCACUUGGAUAGAUGACCAACUGAAAAAUCCAAAAGUGUACAUCAAAAAUAGGUUGGUGACCUUUCCAAGCAAGAUCUAAAGUGCAAAAGCCUGAAUAAAGUACUUCAAGGUAAGGGCAAGUCACUCUGAAAGCUAGAAAAAGUCUUAACAAAAAUGUGCAUGUAUGGUCUCUCUUGAGGAAAACAAAUCAUAGCCAUG